Molecule: long non-coding RNA, 7393 nt
Organism: Acinonyx jubatus (cheetah)
Lineage: Eukaryota; Metazoa; Chordata; Mammalia; Carnivora; Felidae
Exons: 3
Source: RefSeq, a predicted model, not a curated record
GGUGUCACGGAGGCCGAUCUGUCCGGAAAGCGCGCGCUGUGCUCCGGGGCCCGGGGCGUCCCCGUGACCAGCGGCCCGAGCGCGGAAGCGCUCGCUGCGGGGAGGUGGCGGCCGGUCUGCCGUGGGCACCGUGGGGCUUCCCCGGCUCGGGGCAGGGGGCCGGCCUCCCGCGUGCGCGCCCUGCUCGGAAACGGUCCGCUUCCCGGUCGGGACCCGUGGUGGGGUCGCUCCCCUCCGUUUGCCGGGGUCCGCUUUGCCGGCUGCGGAACGGACGCUGCGGUUGACCCGCCGUCGCUUUAGUCUGUGUUAGUGGCUCUGCCGUCCGUAGGGCCCCAGAGAGCGCCCAGGGGAGCCUUUCAGCCGCCGGUCCCUGUCCUCAGAACGCGGGGACUCGUUCGCCCAAAACCCACUCGGGUGAAACCGGGGCCUGCGGCGUUUCGGUCCCCAGUGACCGUGCCGCAAACCCUUGGGAGUGACGUCGGUCGCUCGGGUGUGCGCUCAGAGUCCUCCUCAGCGGGUGCCAGGGUCUUCCGGGUCCUGACUGUGCUCCUCCAGUCAAGGCUGUGUCUUGAGUCUGUGUCCACGUACGUUCCCUACUCUCCUAGUUACUUCGUAAAUGAGUUGCUCUGUUCUCCCCACACCCAGUCUGUGCUGUCUGCCAUCAGUCCUGUGUCGCCUUUGUAGUUGGGGCUGGUCUGUAACCUAUGCUGUGUGCGAGGUGGGCGAUGUGGUAUUUUUCUGCCUUCGGAGGAAAUGCCUAGAAAUUUUACUGUAGUGUGAGACACGUGGCUCUUGGUUGGGUCGAUUGUCCACCCCCUGAAGGUAGGAAUUCGAUUAACUCCAUACGGACGUUAAUCUCUUCUCCACGUUGUCACCGGAAGUAAGGAUGUCAGCAGUACAGGAAGCAAUGGUGUGUGUUUCUACCAAAGGCCUGGAUGUCUGUGGGCUUCUAGUCCACAUCCCAAGUCACAGGUAAGUGUUCUAACUUUGUUAUUCGAUUAGAUCUUCCCUGUUUUCCACGGAGAUGCUUGGAGGAUGACCUGUUAGUUGUGGGCCAGGUUUCUGCUACCCAGGCAAACGGAGAUGUUGGUAAGUCGAGCACGUGCAGAACAUGAUUCUAAGGCUUGAUGAAGUUCAAGCCACACCAUCUCUGCUCCUGGAGGGUUGGACAUUUUCCCCCUUUGGUCCAUGACUCUAACUGCCGUUGGAUUUCUGUGUUCAGAUCAGUUUGCUGGAAUUCUAAUUUUUGUCAUUUGUUGUGUGUUUUAAUUUUUUAUGUUUGCUUAUUUUUGAGAGAGAACAUCAGCAGGAGAGGGGCAGAGAGAGGCGCAGAGAGACACAGAAUGCAAAGCAGGCUCCAGGCUCUGAGCUGUCAGCACAGAGCCAAUAUGGGGCUCGAUCCCACGAACUGUGAGAUCAUGACCUGAGCCGAAGUCGGACGCUUAACCAACUGAGCCACCGAGGCACCCCCCCCCAUUCCUUUUUUUUAACGUUUAUUUUUGAGGGAGACAGAGAGCAGGGGAUGGGCAGAGAGAGAGGGAGACACAGAAUCCGAAGCAGGCUCCAGGCUCGGAGCCAUUAGCACAGAGCCCGACGCGGGGCUCGAACCCACAAACUGAGAUCGUGACCUGAGCCGAAGUCGGACUCUUAACUGACAAAGCCACCCAGGAGCCCCUGUUCAUAUUUUAAUUUAAAAAUAUUUCACUGCUGGAGCACCUGGGUGACUCAGUCCAUUGAAUGUCUGAAUUUUGAUUUCGGUUCAGGUCACCAUCCUACGGUCAUGGGAUUGAGCUCCACAUUGGGCUCUGCAUGAAGUAUGGAGCCUGCUUGGGAGUCUCUAAAAGUUAAAAAAAAAAUACUCCAUCAUUAAAACAUGCUCUGGGGUGCCUCGGUGGCUCAGCCUUGGCUGGCUUCAGCUCAGGUCAUGAUCUCGCGGUUCGUGGGUUCGAGCCCCACAUGGGGCUCUGUGCUGAUAGCUCGGAGCCUGGAACCUGCUUCGGAUUCUGCGUCUCCCUCUCUCUCUGCCCCUCCCCGCUCCCACUCUCUCAAAAAAAAAAAAUGCUAAGCAUCAUCCAAGUUUUCAUUGGCUGUAACGUGUUUCUGGCGGAGGGUCAUCCCUCGAUGCCCAUGUCUGCCGGCCUGUCAGCGUGGUGCCCAUGGCAGGCCAGGGUGGCCGUGGCAAUUUCUUCAAACGAGAAUGAAGUUGGCCGUGUCGAUAGACUCUUCUUCCUUUCACAAAUGAUUUCUCUGCGGCAGGCGGUGCUGUUUGCUGGCCUCUCACCCACAGGAGAAGCUUCUUUCCAAACACAUGUUCUCCAACCUGCCACGGGGUCUCUGAUAUUCUGUCCUUGUCACAUCCGCAAUCAUCCCAGCACCCUCACCAGGAGGAGACUCCUUCUCAAGGAACCAGGCUCUUCGCACCUCCCCAGGAAGUGCCUCCUCGUCCGUUCCCAUUUGGUCCUGGGACGGCAGCGAUUCAGUCCUACCUUCAGGCUCCACUCCUCACUCUGGUUCUCCUGUUUCCACCCCACCUGUGGGGACGGCGUCCCCCGGUCUCGACCCCUCACAGUCAUCCACCGGGGUUGGAAUCAACUCCUUCCAAUUCCUGGUAAUGUUGAUGUUCUGACUUCUUCCCACGAUUCACGACCGUUCUGUGGCAUCUAGGAGGGUGACUCCUUUCUGGUUCACUCUGCCCCAGUCCCUCAGAGGAAUCACCAUCUAUGGCAGCUGUAGCUUCACAAAAUGUAUUUCCUAAAAAGACGUGAAAGUUGAAGACUUAUCGCUCCAUGGGCUGCAGAACAGGCGGACGUUGUGUUGGCUGCCGUGGAAACACUCAUCUCAUUGUUCGUCGUCAGAGCUCAUGGGUGACCCGGUGAGGGGUCAAUGAGCAGUAACAGUUUGAAUCUUUUUUUUCUGAGCAGUAGUCCCAACAGUGGGCUUAAAACAUUCAGUCAUGUUGUAAAGACACAGGCUGUCAUCCAGGCUUUGUCAUUCCACUGACAGAGCACAGGCAGAGGGCAGGGGGCAUAAUUCUCCAGGGCCCCAAUUCUCCAGGGCCCGGGAUGGCCACUGAGCACUGGCUGCCCCGUGAAGUCACUAACUGCAUCAGCCCCUGACAAGAGAGUCAGCCCGUCCCUAGAAGCUUUGAGGCCAGGCACUGACUUCUCUCUGGCCACGAAAGUCCUAAAUGGCCUCUUCUUCCAACAGAAGGCUGUUCAUUUACACUGAAAAUCUGCUGUUCAAUGGGGCCACCUCCAGUCACCUCACCUACAUCUUCUGACACCUGCUGCCGUCAUCUGCACUUGAGGUUAUGGAGAUGCCUUCUUUCCUCAGACCUCAUGACCCAACCUCGGCUGGCUUCAGACUUGUCAGCUUCCUCGCCUCCCUCAGCCUUUGCGGAACUGAAGAGAGCCAAGGCCUUGCUCUGGGACAAGGGACACGGCACAGUGGGUCCACGAAGCAGGCACAGCACGCACAGUGCGUAUUGAUGAAGUUCGCAUCGUACAUCCUGGUUUCCCAGUUACAACGGUAACAUCAAGGGUCCCCACGACAACGAGAGAAACAAUGGAAACAUUUGGAAUACUGCAAGCAGGACACACAGACGUGAAGUGAGCAGAUGCUGUAGGAAAAUGGCGCCUGUAGCCUUGGCACCACAAACCUCCACUGUGUAGAAAACACAGUAUGUGCAAAGCACAACACAGUGAGAGCCGGGGUCUGGCUGCUGGGGUUCCCCUCAUGAAGAGACACCUGCAGCCUUAAUGUGAAGCCCAAGACCUCAUCGAAUAGCGUCUCAAAAGGGUGACCGACCUUUCCUAGUUGAAAGCGAACAACUCAGAAAGACCUGAGAGGCCGUGUUCCCUCCGCCCUGGAGCCAUGCAGGUAGGUGAGGACUAGUCUGAGAGGUGCAUGUCGGCCUUGUCCUGGUCGCCUGAGACUGGCUGACUGGGUACGUUUUUCACUUACUUGCAUUGAUACUCCGGGUGGCCAGGGACCCUGCUGCAGAAGCCACCUGGCCUCGGGAGCAGACAGCUCACGGCACAUGCCUACUUCUGGCCCUCAGCUACACAAAUGUGCUUACUCCCUGUGAAGGCCAAGCUGAAGACCCGGUUCUGCCAGGCUGGCCUCCAAAAACACACCUGGGAACCUUGUUCGCUGGAGAAGCCAGGACCCCAUCAGGCAGCAGGUCCAAAUGGGGAAGGCACGUUGCCAGUUUAAAGCUGACAUUUCAGAAAGAUUUUCCAGGUGUUUCCCUCCACCUUGGAGGCUGUGCGGUUGAUGGGAAUGGGCCUGAGCUCCACGGGCCAGGGGUGUACAGGCCCCCAGGGUUGAAGCUGGAGUGUGCCCGGCCCCAGUGCAGGCCUCCCUGAUUCACUUAUCCCGGGCCUGAGAGAGGGCCCCUGCCAGGAGGGACUGGGAACGGAAGGGGAAUUGUGGGUCCGAGGAAUCUGGAAAAUUCCAAGCCCUCGCCUACACAAAUGCCUGUGAGGAGACAGGACACCCUAAAAUGCGCCAUGCUGGCAGGCUGAUGACUUUGAAGUAAGCAGCCAGCACAGGAGCCCUUCCCAUGUCAGUGUCCGGGUCAAGUAGAGACAAGAGUGGGAGGACCCCUUCCCACAGCUGGAGAAAAUACUUGCAGAACUCGUUCCUGGUAAGUGGUGCCAACCCUUCUGAGAUUGUGUCUGUAGAAAUCUAUGUGAAAUUUAGCAUUGUGGAAACCGUACAAAACUCCUAAAGAUCUGAUCAGUCCUGGUGUGUUAUCACCUGUAAUUCUGUCAUUUGAAGUGCCCUGAGCCACAGAAGUCCCCACAUCUCCUUGUCAGCUGCAUGACAGGAACUAAGCAGGAUUUAAACAUGGCCCUUUUAAGUCCUUCCUCAUUUACAGCGGUUGUGCUUUGACUCCGAUGCUUCUGCAAGGGUGCUUCCUUCUCAAGCAGACGGGGUGAGCACAGACCCAGGUGCUAGAAUGGGCUGUUAAUUUCAGAUGGUACCAUUGACCCAGGGUCAGAUUUACAGAACUCUGCAGGGGGACCCGACAGCCCCACAAAACCAUAACAAAGAUCGAUGAUUCAUUACAUGGAAGUGAAUACUGGGAGGGCAUUUGUAACUGUCAGGACUUCGUUCACGAUCACCUGUCGUGUUCCCGAUAGAAGAACGUCUACUUACAGCAGUUCUGUACAUGAGACCUUUGUAAACAGGAUGGAGGCUUGUGCCCAACAUGAUGCCCCGAGAUCAGCAACCUCUGUUACAUUCCUGUUUUCACAUCCAUCCUGGCGUACGCUCAGCGGGAAUCUGAUUUCGGAAUGGGGCACGGUUGGGAACACUGCCGAGAUUACCAAGGUUUGACCGGAACCAUAUUUGAGAAAGACCUUGUUGACUCCAAACUGGCCAGCUUUUAGGAACUGAGGUUGACUUUAUGGAGCCACUAAAGCCCCUUGGAAAUGUCCCCUUGAUGGCUUGCUUGCAGGGCCCCUGCAGCCUUCCCAGGGGAUCAAAGGUCACUUCCUCACAGCAGCAAGAACUUCCGGAGAUUUGGGGGCCUCGAGAAGAGAGGAAGUAAUCUCCAGCUACAGGCAUUACAAAGACGGUGAGGUAGCAGGGCCCUGAUUCACCUCCUCCCUGGUCGGUAGUUCCUCCUGCAGCACUGAGGGAAUGACUGGACAGACCACGCAGGGAAGGGCAGAAGAGUAACACUGUGACCUGCGGGGGGUGGAAGGACCAGGAACGGAUUCAUCCGGCCAGGACACACAGAGCCACGGUGUGAAAGGGCAACGAGAAUACAAAGGAAAUAAUGCCAGAGCACCUACCAAAAGGUGGGGGUUUGGAGGUGCUGACCAGACCGUGACUUCCCUCCCCGCUUCGCCUGGCCAGUGCAGAUGAAGCCAGCCUGCUGCUUCAGCGAGGCUGGGGCCCCAGUCAGCCCGCCAAGGUGACCCCGGCGCAGCACCCAGUGCAGCUCCAGCCCUCUCUGCAAGGUGACACAGGCACAAAGCACCCUGGGACGUGCCAGGCCUGCUCCUGUGUCAGCUCCACGUGACUGGCCAGGGAACCCCCAGUGUGGAGUACCCCAGAACCACCUGGUCCACAUGCCCUUGGCUCGUGCCAUCCAGCCCAUCCUGGGGCCUCUGUGGAGCACCCUGGGUCCCCUGCUUCAGCUCCAGUGAUCCCACCAGGUGUCCCCUGCACUGAAUGCCCUGGGACCUCCUGGCCUGUACCAACCUUACCUCUGCCUGUUCCCGCAGGGCACCCUCUGCACGGAGUACCCUGGGGUCCCUGUGCCCAUGCCUGCUUCAGCUCUGUCUGAUCAGGAUGGCCCUGGGACCCCCACCUGCACCCACCAUAGUGCCAGCCAGCCAGCCAAAGCCCCAGGCAUAUGCAGUUUGCACAGGCAUGUUCCUGAAUAAGGCCUUUCCUCCAAGAUUGGAGACAGCUGUUCCACCUAACUCACAAACACACACAGAAAGUCAAAAUGAGGAGACAGGAACAUGCUCCAAAUGGAAGAAAAAGGCAAAGCUUCAGAAAAACAACCACGUGAAACAGAUCAGCAAUCUACCUGAGAAAGACUUCAAAGCAGAGGUCAUAGCAGUGCUCGCUGGACUCGAGAGAAGAGUGGAUGGGCUCAGUGAGAACUUCCCCAGAGAGACAGCAAAUAUAAGAAUCAGAGAAUAUGGUAACUGAAAUGAACACACAGGAGGGAAGCAGCAGAUCACAGGACGCAGAGGGACGGAUCCGCAACCUGAAAGACAGGGUCAUGGUCCACGUUGAGCCGCAGGGAAGGAAGGAAGACAUGAAUGAAUAAAAAGGCCAAGUUCAGAAAGCUCCAGGACAACACAAAGCCUGUGAGUGCUCACAUUAGAGGGAUCCCAGAAGGAGGAGAGAGAGAAAGGGAAAGCACUUAAAUAAUAACCGAAAACCUCCCUAACCUGAAGAACAGGAAGGAAGGAAAUAGAUAUUCAGGACCAAGAAGCACAGACAACCCCACAGAAGAUGAGGCCCGGGAGGUCCUCCCACAAUAGAUGAUAAUCCAGUGGUCAACGAUUAAAGAGAGAGAGAAUCUUAAAAACAACGGUAGAAAAGCAACCAGUUGCCCACAAGGGAAACCCCAAAGGGCAAUCAGCCGACUUUUCAACAGAAACUUUGCAGGCCGGAGGGAGUGGCAUGAGGUAUGCAAAGUGCUGAACGGGAAGACACAUCCAAGUUCACUGCACUGUUCAGAACUAAAGAAAAGGGAGAGUGUCCCACACAAGCAGAAGUUGAAGGCAUUCAUCACCACUGUACUAGCCUUACAAGAAAGGUCUACAGAACUUCUUGAAGUAGCGAAGAAAAGGCUCUAGUUGGAAGAAAACUGAAAGGAAAAUUGUGAGCACAAACAUACACUACAGGUAGUAGAUCAAUC